This 107-nucleotide small nuclear RNA is filed under the name Dasypus novemcinctus (nine-banded armadillo). The record is from RNAcentral. Lineage: Eukaryota; Metazoa; Chordata; Mammalia; Cingulata; Dasypodidae.
GUGCUUGAUUCAGCAGCACCUUUACCAAAAUUGGAACAAUGGAGAGAAGAUUAGCAUGGCCCUUGCGCAAGGGUGACAUGCAAAUUUGUGAAGUGUUCCCUAUUUUU